UCCACCUCCUCGGGGUCCACAAAUCCCAGCUCCUUAUCGAGGCGUUCCAGGAUCUCCACCUCCAUGUUGUCGUCAGCCAUGGUGUCGGAUGGAGGACAAGUCGUGGCCUCAACGGUCGGUUCCUGCUAGAAAAAGACAGGGGCCGGACAACUUGUGAUGUACUGACGGACGGACGGUACGGAUUCACAACCCGGCAUGGGGCCACGGACUACACACUUGGAGUAGGACGGAGUACGGGGAAAAUGGUACCUGUCGAGGGAAGGAAAGGUAAAACGGUUAUUUAACUAGUUUACCAAGUGGAGGUGCUGCGAAUCGGUGGAGCAUCUCGGGCAUGCUCGAAGAGCAAGCUCUUCGCUCGUCAGCAUCCGACGUGGCCACGGGGUAUCUUCCCUACCCUCGAUGCAGUCACAAACCUCCAGUGUGUCCCACAGGCCACAACGGUAACAGCUUCGAGUCGACGGUCCCCUAGUCAGCCAGAUCGAUCCGGGGAGGCCACAACGCCAGCACGUCCCGGAUACGGUUGUCUGCAAAUCGGACAUCUGAAACUGAUUUUAAGUUCAGUACGGUCAACACCCACCGACGGCCGGAGGGCUCUGGCGGACGAAACGGGGAACCCCUCGAAUGAGACCGGAACCAAAUGGUCAUAAACAACGGGUGAAAUCACUUUCACAACGGUAUACGGACCAGAGAACUUCGGAGC
Molecule: long non-coding RNA, 700 nt
Organism: Coccinella septempunctata (seven-spotted ladybird)
Lineage: Eukaryota; Metazoa; Arthropoda; Insecta; Coleoptera; Coccinellidae
Exons: 3
Source: RefSeq, a predicted model, not a curated record